AGAGUUUGAUCCUGGCUCAGAACGAACGCUGGCGGCGUGGAUAAGACAUGCAAGUCGAACGAGAGAAUUGCUAGCUUGCUAAUAAUUCUCUAGUGGCGCACGGGUGAGUAACACGUGAGUAACCUGCCCCCGAGAGCGGGAUAGCCCUGGGAAACUGGGAUUAAUACCGCAUAGAAUCGCAAGAUUAAAGCAGCAAUGCGCUUGGGGAUGGGCUCGCGGCCUAUUAGUUAGUUGGUGAGGUAACGGCUCACCAAGGCGAUGACGGGUAGCCGGUCUGAGAGGAUGUCCGGCCACACUGGAACUGAGACACGGUCCAGACACCUACGGGUGGCAGCAGUCGAGAAUCAUUCACAAUGGGGGAAACCCUGAUGGUGCGACGCCGCGUGGGGGAAUGAAGGUCUUCGGAUUGUAAACCCCUGUCAUGUGGGAGCAAAUUAAAAAGAUAGUACCACAAGAGGAAGAGACGGCUAACUCUGUGCCAGCAGCCGCGGUAAUACAGAGGUCUCAAGCGUUGUUCGGAAUCACUGGGCGUAAAGCGUGCGUAGGCUGUUUCGUAAGUCGUGUGUGAAAGGCGCGGGCUCAACCCGCGGACGGCACAUGAUACUGCGAGACUAGAGUAAUGGAGGGGGAACCGGAAUUCUCGGUGUAGCAGUGAAAUGCGUAGAUAUCGAGAGGAACACUCGUGGCGAAGGCGGGUUCCUGGACAUUAACUGACGCUGAGGCACGAAGGCCAGGGGAGCGAAAGGGAUUAGAUACCCCUGUAGUCCUGGCAGUAAACGGUGCACGCUUGGGGUGCGGGGAAUCAACCCCCUGCGUGCCCGAACUAACGCGUUAA
Molecule: ribosomal RNA, 835 nt
Filed under: uncultured bacterium
Lineage: Bacteria
Description: bacterial SSU rRNA
Rfam family: Bacterial small subunit ribosomal RNA
Source: RNAcentral